UACGAAGGGGGCUAGCGUUGCUCGGAAUUACUGGGCGUAAAGCGUACGUAGGCGGUUAUUCAAGUCAGAGGUGAAAGCCCGGGGCUCAACCCCGGAACUGCCUUUGAAACUAGAUAGCUAGAAUCUUGGAGAGGUCAGUGGAAUUCCGAGUGUAGAGGUGAAAUUCGUAGAUAUCGGAAGAACACCAGUGGCGAAGGCGACUGACUGGACAAGUAUUGACGCUGAGGUACGAAAGCGUGGGGAGCAAACAGG
Molecule: ribosomal RNA, 252 nt
Filed under: uncultured bacterium
Lineage: Bacteria
Description: partial 16S ribosomal RNA
Rfam family: Bacterial small subunit ribosomal RNA
Source: RNAcentral